This 449-nucleotide ribosomal RNA is filed under the name uncultured bacterium. RNAcentral's name for it is "partial 16S ribosomal RNA". It matches the Rfam family "Bacterial small subunit ribosomal RNA", at positions 29 to 523 of the family's 1533-position model. The record is from RNAcentral.
AGCGAACGCUGGCGGCAGGCCUAACACAUGCAAGUCGAGCGCCGUAGCAAUACGGAGCGGCAGACGGGAUAGUAACACGUGGGAACGUGCCCUUUGGUUCGGAAUAACUCAGGGAAACUUGAGCUAAUACCGGAUAAGCCCUUACGGGGAAAGAUUUAUUGCCAUUGGGGCGGCCCGCGUCGGAUUAGCUAGUUGGUGAGGUAAUGGCUCACCAAGGCGACGAUCCGUAGCUGGUCUGAGAGGAUGACCAGCAUCACUGGGACUGAGACACGGCCCAGACUCCUACGGGAGGCAGCAGUGGGGAAUAUUGGACAAUGGGCGCAAGCCUGAUCCAGCCAUGCCGCGUGGAUGAUGAAGGCCCUAGGGUUGUAAAGUCCUUUUAACGGGGAAGAUAAUGACGGUACCCGUAGAAUAAGCCCCGGCUAACUUCGUGCCAGCCGCCGCCGUAA